AGGGGCGGAGGAGAGGAGCUGAAGGGAGCUGAGGACACCGUAGGUGUCUGGAUGGUAACAAUGACAAUAAAAAUAGCUCACUUCUCUACGCCCCUUUACCGCGUACGGAAUUCUCUGCUCACAGUUUCCGUGUAAUUAUCCUCAAGAGAAAACUCAGUUCUAGAGAGGUGAAGGGACUCAGUUUCCUUUUCUGUCAAGCGAGAGGCAGCAUCUCUGGGCUCCGGCAUCCCAGCCUCCAAGCGGAGGGGAUGACGGGGAAACUGAGGCCUGAAGAGGGGAAGUGACUUUGCUGGAGUUCCCCCAGUGGCAGAGCCCAGAUGGAGCCCAACUCACCUGUGCCUCCUUUUCUUAGGUGACAGGCAUUACCAACUGGGAUAAAGUAAUUUAUAAUAAGAUAUUAAAAACCUGAUAUGCCACUCUU
Non-coding RNA from Monodelphis domestica (gray short-tailed opossum), 421 nucleotides. The record is from RefSeq and is a predicted model, not a curated record. NCBI's taxonomy places the organism in Eukaryota, Metazoa, Chordata, Mammalia, Didelphimorphia, Didelphidae.